Camelus dromedarius (Arabian camel) is the source of this 313-nucleotide long non-coding RNA. RefSeq lists it as uncharacterized. The record is from RefSeq and is a predicted model, not a curated record. NCBI's taxonomy places the organism in Eukaryota, Metazoa, Chordata, Mammalia, Artiodactyla, Camelidae. The transcript is spliced from 3 exons.
GGAGAGUGAUGCCUCUUCGCCACAGCAUUUCAAAAUAGAUAUUACAGCAAAGACCCAGAGGAUCACUUGUCCAGCCUCUCACUGAUAGUAGGAGUGGAGCUGGGAUGCAAUCCCAGGGUCACUGGACGCAAGUCCAUUUCAACCAUCACCUUAGCCCAGAACCAUGACAAAGGAAAUUCAUAAGGAGGUAUUGCUACGUGGUGAUCGCUGUACCUCUUUGAUGGUGGAGACCAAGUCUAGUUGGAAAUGGAAGAAGAGAAACAGAGGAUAUACAGGAUUCCCCCACCACCUCUUUCCUUCUUCGUGUGUGAGG